GAAUGUGAGGGUGAUCUGGUUGUGACAUCUGUCACCCCAUUGAAUGCCAGGUUGAUUUGGCUCAUCUGCCUGGUUAGGUGGGUGUCCCCUUGCUCCAUCAUCACUCCAUGUGUGACCCUCCCAAAGCCUUGUGCUCUGUCGAGGAGGAUGGCCUUCCCUAAGUAGAGGUGACCGGUCUUUGGGUGAAGGUAUAUGAGUAGCUGUGCUCCCCUGAUUGAACCUCCAGACAAGCUCUGAAUCUGUUCGGGUAUUUCCUCUAUCCUAUCAUAUUUUCAUUACCAAAAGAAUUCUCCUCCUGGAAGCUAAGCACAAAAGAAGAUUCUCCAACCUAGUCCAACUUGUACCCCCCAAGUUAAAAUU
Erinaceus europaeus (western European hedgehog) is the source of this 360-nucleotide unclassified non-coding RNA. Its record names the gene 7SK. It matches the Rfam family "7SK RNA". Rfam says of the family: 7SK was discovered as an abundant small nuclear RNA in the mid-70s but a possible function has only recently been suggested. Two independent studies have found that 7SK RNA binds the CDK9/cyclin T complex (known as elongation factor P-TEFb). P-TEFb activates transcription by phosphorylating the C-terminal domain of RNA polymerase II. NCBI's taxonomy places the organism in Eukaryota, Metazoa, Chordata, Mammalia, Eulipotyphla, Erinaceidae. The record is from Ensembl.